RNAcentral lists this long non-coding RNA (1071 nucleotides) under Felis catus (domestic cat). RNAcentral's name for it is "lncRNA (ENSFCAG00000040427.2)". The record is from RNAcentral. Lineage: Eukaryota; Metazoa; Chordata; Mammalia; Carnivora; Felidae.
CUUCCAUGAAAUACUUAAUUUGACUCUGUUAAUAACAGAAACUAUCAGUUCUGCCGAAGGAAUGGAAAGGAAGAAACACAAACAUCUUUUCCAAACCAUUGAAUAGGUUAUGUGUGGAUAUAUAUCAAGCUUGUGGCAUGCAAAUAUUAAGAAAAAAAUGUUAAAUUAUUUGGAAAAGGCUUAUUCCUUUGGAAAGGGCAGAACCAUCUUGGAGCUCAAGGAAAUGUCACAGAAUGAAUAAAUGAGAACUAAUUAUAGCAACUCUUGCUUCAAUUUCUGACUUUUUUUUUUUUUAACAUCAGGAUUUGCUUCCGCACGGCAGUGGAAGAAUGGAAGGGACCCAGAGAACCCAUGGAGCAUCUUGUCUAGGAGCCCCAUGUGUCAGACUUUCCUUGUGGAUUUGGAGGGUAUUCAACGUUUUAUUAUGAGGGUCACUUCAGGAACCAGCAGAUCGGAACUGUGGAUCUGUCACUCAUUCUUAAGAUCUUCCGCUUGGCCACAGUUGAGGGGAGGUGUGCUUGCAGGAGACAGAAGUGCUGGCUCAGGCUAAACCGUGACCGUUCAAACACUGAACACCAAGCAUGUGAAGUACUUGGCCAAAACAUCUGCGGUGGAAUAAUUGAUUAAAAUAUUAUUGAUAUAUGAGUUGACUUUAUUUAUCCAAUUAAAUCUCAGGUAUCCUUUUUUUGAAAUGUGUAUAACUGCAGGUAGCUAGCAUUCUUCUUUUAAUUGGUUUUGACUUUGCAGAAUGAUUUUUUGUAUCUCUCCAGCUGCUUCAUCAGAAUUGAAGGGAGGGAAAAUGACCCCAUGACCCUCUUCUCUCAUCCGAAUGAAGUAAGAGCCACAAAGCUGGAAUAAUUUUGGAUUUUCCACAUAGAUUUUCCUGACUAUUUCUUUUAAUACAAACAUAAGAAUGAUAACCAACUCUUUGUCCUCAAUUACUUCCAUCCAGAAUUAUGCGUGGGAUGCUGUAUGUGAACUUGGCAGUUAUAUGACAGGAAUUUGCAUCCUCCCAAAGCAAUGCAGGUAGGAGAGAAAUGAGCUUAAAUGGGACUGAGAAAAUUAUAAUAA